This 102-nucleotide small nucleolar RNA is filed under the name Brassica napus (rape). RNAcentral's name for it is "snoRNA snoZ157". It matches the Rfam family "Small nucleolar RNA Z157/R69/R10". Rfam says of the family: Z157, R69 and R10 are members of the C/D class of snoRNA which contain the C (UGAUGA) and D (CUGA) box motifs. Most of the members of the box C/D family function in directing site-specific 2'-O-methylation of substrate RNAs. Lineage: Eukaryota; Viridiplantae; Streptophyta; Magnoliopsida; Brassicales; Brassicaceae. The record is from Rfam by way of RNAcentral. RNAcentral also lists the same sequence under 2 other names.
GGGUAAUAUGGUGAUGAUACAUUUAUGUUGUGGACUAGAGUUUCUGAUCUGGGCUCUUCUCCCGGAAGUUGAAGAAUAACCCUUGGCUGUCUGAGUAUACCC